Ornithorhynchus anatinus (platypus) is the source of this 559-nucleotide non-coding RNA. The record is from the annotation of a RefSeq genome assembly. NCBI's taxonomy places the organism in Eukaryota, Metazoa, Chordata, Mammalia, Monotremata, Ornithorhynchidae.
AGAGCCCACAGAUCCUGCCGGGAUGAUCCUGCCCCUGCUCAUCAUCGUGGUUUCCCUUGGGGCUCGCACGAAUGGUCAGCUAGAACUGCAGCAACCCAAAGCCCCCGUCAUCAAGAAAAAGGGCAGCACGGCCUUCCUCGACUGCAAAGUGCAGGGGACUGAUUUUGCCAGUGCUUACAUUCACUGGUACCGCCAGAGAGCCAACCAGGCCCCCGAGCGGAUCCUCUACCUCUCAACAAAUGGCCAAGUUAAUUUUGACCAACAGCAGUAUAAACAGAAGUUUGAAGCCACCAAAAGGAACAGCGAUUCCACUUGUACCCUAAGAAUUCUUAAACUGGACGAAAAGGAUGUAGGGACCUAUUACUGUGCCAGCUGGAAACACAGUGUCAGAGAGCCCAGAUCUGCUGUACAAAAAACCCUUCUUGUGUCUCUGCCCCCUGGCAUCUGGCAUCCGCAGCCACCGUCUCAGCCCCUCCCUCCUUCUUGCCACCUCAGCUCACGACAGGUUGGGACCUCGAACCCCUGACUAUGUGGCUGCCAUAGAGAGGCGACAGGGGAG